This 460-nucleotide ribosomal RNA is filed under the name uncultured bacterium. RNAcentral describes it as "partial 16S ribosomal RNA". It matches the Rfam family "Bacterial small subunit ribosomal RNA", at positions 338 to 795 of the family's 1533-position model. The record is from RNAcentral.
CCUACGGGCGGCAGCAGUGAGGAAUAUUGGUCAAUGGACGAGAGUCUGAACCAGCCAAGUAGCGUGAAGGAUGACUGCCCUAUGGGUUGUAAACUUCUUUUAUAUGGGAAUAAAAUGUUCCACGUGUGGGAUUUUGUAUGUACCAUAUGAAUAAGGAUCGGCUAACUCCGUGCCAGCAGCCGCGGUAAUACGGAGGAUCCGAGCGUUAUCCGGAUUUAUUGGGUUUAAAGGGAGCGUAGGUGGAUUGUUAAGUCAGUUGUGAAAGUUUGCGUCUCAACCGUAAAAUUGCAGUUGAAACUGGCAGUCUUGAGUACAGUAGAGGUGGGCGGAAUUCGUGGUGUAGCGGUGAAAUGCUUAGAUAUCACGAAGAACUCCGAUUGCGAAGGCAGUUCACUGGACUGCAACUGACACUGAGGCUCGAAAGUGUGGGUAUCAAACAGGAUUAGAUACCCCUGUAGUC